Long non-coding RNA from Electrophorus electricus (electric eel), 371 nucleotides. RefSeq lists it as uncharacterized. NCBI's taxonomy places the organism in Eukaryota, Metazoa, Chordata, Actinopteri, Gymnotiformes, Gymnotidae. The record is from RefSeq and is a predicted model, not a curated record.
GCUGUGCGAUACUGUCACCAUAACUUUAUAUUUAAACCUUUUCCAACCGCGGAUUCGCUCGUUAAAUACAUUUGAGAGCUUCGUGCAUUUCGCCUAAUCCAGAACACACCCAUGUGACGAAUGUGUCAUUUUUCAACGCCUAGAGCAUUGACACUUUCGGUUGCAAUUAUGUACGAUUUGUAAUGUUUUGGAACAGUUUUCAAUGAUCUAGGUGUUUUGGUGCAUGACCUGGACAACAGACGCAGCGGGGCCGAACAUUUGGUUUUCUGUCUCUCUUGCCGCUCUUUCCCUGUCACUUGCCUGUAUGUAGUUGUCUUCAAUGAACCCGUCAUCAUCGUCUUCUAUUAUUUCACCAUCGUGUGCCUGGCUUG